GCUCCCGUAGUUUAUCUGGAUAAAACAAGGCAUUCCUAAUGCCUAGUGCUAGGUUCGAGUCCUGGCGGGAGCA
RNAcentral lists this transfer RNA (73 nucleotides) under SAR324 cluster bacterium. RNAcentral's name for it is "tRNA-Arg". It matches the Rfam family "tRNA". Rfam says of the family: Transfer RNA (tRNA) molecules are approximately 80 nucleotides in length. Their secondary structure includes four short double-helical elements and three loops (D, anti-codon, and T loops). RNAcentral also lists the same sequence under 1 other name. The record is from RNAcentral. Lineage: Bacteria; Deltaproteobacteria.